UCUCUCUCCCUCCCUCCCUCUUUUUCAGUUUUCUGACCUUGUUGAAAUUUGGAGAACCAAAAGGAGGGAUGAAUUGAAUUGUUUGUUGAAUUGGGUUCAAAAAUUUGAGUGUCUUCAGUCUUCAAUUUGCCGGAAGUGGUAAUUUUUUCUGGGCUCUAGGUCUAGGUGCUGGUGUUGCUUUUAAAGGGCAGUACGAUUGUUCCCUCCUCCUCUGAACCUUAUCGUCACCCGACACCUGACUCUGCCCAACAACCCACCCUAAACCCCUCAAACCCAGAAACCCAUCUUCGAUCUUCACCUAUGUGCGAUGAUGCUGGAAUAUGGAAAAGCAGUUCGAGAGAGUGAAUACGAGCAACUUCGUGUUGUGUUUACGUUGAGAUACACAUGGGAAGCACGUGAUAGCAAUACAACCCUAAAGCAAUCUCAGAGCGAUCGAUCGAUCCCUUUCUCUCAUCGUUCUCCAGAGGAGGUGAUUGAGGUUGCGAGUUCCGGCUGUGGUGAGAGGCACCUGAUCGAUACCCUUCUCCUUCUCAUCGUCAUCUCGCUCAUCGUUACCCUUCUCCCCCAAUUUUUGAUUCAGCCCCUCCAAUUCGAUUCGUAAAUUGGAGGCGAUAUAUAUGUUGUGGUUUCGAAUAAGUCACUCGAUUGGCGGCGGCUUAUUGGGUUUGGGCAGAGAUUGAAUCUCAUGUGCAACCUGGAUCUGUAUCAGUAUAUGUUCAUUAUGGACAAAAGUAGACCAAAGGAUGCAAAUCUUUUAGCUCAAAGCCAUGUUGUGAUCACUACAUAUGGAGUUUGAGCAUCAGAAUUUUCUAUAGAGAAUUCUAAGGACAAUGGGGGACUUUACUCGGUUGGUUCUUGUUGAAGCGCAUACCAUAAAAUCCUCUAAAAGCCAAAUCUCUAUUGCUGCUGCUGCUCUAGUUGCUGGUCGCCGAUGCUGUCUUACUGGCACCCCUAUACAGGAUUUGUGAAAGCUUGUUUGUACUUGCGUAUAGCUUCUGGUCUUCUGGUACCAGAAGCCAAGCUGUUUCUGCAUUUGGAGGAUUUGCUUUACGUGGUAAAAGCCAAACCCCAUGAUCACAGGAUGAUGUGUGCCUCACCAAUUGUGCAAACUAAGUUGAGCCAAAGUGAUUCUCUCUGUUAAUAUUCUCAUUCUAGCAUCUCAUGUGAUUCUGAAUUUCAGUCAGAGCUUGUGAAAGGUGACUCGUUGUCAAAGGUUAGUUUAGGAAUCUGCAUUCCAAAUCCGCUCGAAUUUGUAGAGCUGAAAUCUUUGGAAUUUGAGGAAGGACUUGUCUGCAAUGAACCAAAACUAUUGUAGACCAACAGAUGCCGUGAGGUGAGCCAUGAAAUUGACCAAAUCGACUCGCAUACGACAGGAAAGAUGAAACUGUGCUUGGAGUUGUUACCAUAGGGGCUUUUAAGGGAGACGGAGAAAGGCAUGUGCAUCAAGGAGGAGAUAAGGUUGGAGAUAAAGGUCCAGUUUGAAGAAACCAUCUACACAGAGACUCGUUGAGAUCUAUGAGGAUAACGAUAAUGUGAGCAAGGACGAGUUUGCGGCUCUGCUCUCGGAGGUCAAGCUGCCACAGCCACCAAUAUGUGUUCACUGCAUAGAUUGAAACGGAUCCAUGAGUACCAUAGGAGACAUCCAGCUGCACUAGUUGUUGUUGCCAAUGAGGAACAUGAAGCACUGCUCAAACAGGAGCCUCAAGUGGAGAGAUGAAUGAUUCAUUUGCCUUCAGUGAGAUUGGAACUUAUCACUUGCCUUCAGACAAUUGAUAGCAACAACCAUCCUGAGAAUGUUGUGGAGCACUGUGAAGUCCUUCCUUGAUCCCAAUUAAGACAACUGAAAAGAUUAAUGUCCUUGGUAACAAGAGCAAGUUACUUGAAAUAAUUUAUGCUAGUGCAUUGGAGUUCCUGUCCACCUGCAAAUUGGCAAACUUAACAGUGAAGGCAGAGCUGGGUUGUUGCUUGCUUCAUAGAAGUGGAAGGCUCACAAUAGAUGGGUGUGUGCUACAGUGCGAGGCGAAUCCCCUAGACUUCCUUUCAGUCCCCAUUGUCAGUACGGCAAGUGCGGAAACUGUUGUCUUCAUCGGUGAAGUGUUAUAAGGAUGGUGCUUCUGUUUCUUGGACUCGAUCACUCGAAUUGAAGGAGGUGACAAGGCUGUUUCAACUAGUGGAGGCCUGACAUUGCAGCGAGUCCGAGUCAUGUAUGCUCGGACGUCGACUCUCGUUUUCUGGUUUGAUAUGGAGUAACAAUGAUGUCUUGGAUUCCUAGUUGGCAUGUGUACAAUAGUAAUUGUUUUUGUCUUUUUGGUAAACUAUGUACAAUAGUAAUUUGGAGUAGUUGUAUUUAUUUCAUGGGUAAUAAUUUCCACUAUGUCUUUCCUACUGUUGUAAAGGUCAUUGCUAAAAUGGGAUAAUAAAUGAGAAUGAAUUGUGGGUGAAAUAUUCUUGCAAGGAUUUCCCCUUGUGCAUCAUCACUGAUUU
Molecule: long non-coding RNA, 2484 nt
Organism: Rosa rugosa (rugosa rose)
Lineage: Eukaryota; Viridiplantae; Streptophyta; Magnoliopsida; Rosales; Rosaceae
Exons: 12
Source: RefSeq, a predicted model, not a curated record